Cyprinus carpio carpio is the source of this 4870-nucleotide long non-coding RNA. NCBI's taxonomy places the organism in Eukaryota, Metazoa, Chordata, Actinopteri, Cypriniformes, Cyprinidae. The record is from Ensembl.
GUAAGGUCAUCAGAAAUGUGCACACCAAGAAACUUGGUGCUCCUGACUCUCUCUACAGCCGAGCCAUUGAUGAGCAGGGGAAGAUGAUCAGUUGGAGUUCUUCGUAAAUCCACAACAAUCUCUUUCAUCUUGUCCACAUUGAGAGACAGUUUGUUGCUGUAGCACCAGCUCACCAGUUGUUCCACCUCAUCUCUGUAUGGUGUUUCGUUAUCAUUGCUGAUGAGGCCCACUACUGUUGUGUCAUCAGCGAACUUGACAACAAGGUUGGAUUCUGACUUGGCUGUGCAGUUGUGUGUGAGCGGCGUGAACAACAGCGGACUGAGAACACAGCCUUGAGGGGCACCUUUGCUUAAUGUGAUGGUGCCUGAUGUACUGCCACAUAUGCGCACUGACAUUGAUCUUUCAACUGUAAAUUUACUAUGUUCUUUGCAUCCAAGGCAAGGCAUUUGGCAUUGUCUUUUUUGGAAGUGCAGGACUUGACUUUACACCGCCUGUCUGAAAAGAAGUCAAACACUCUAAUAUUUCGUUGCACCACCUUUGGCUUUGAUGUUGUUGUGCUUUUGUUGUAACAUUGUUUGAACAACGUUUAGUUCCAUCAAGAGUUGCAUUAAUGUUUGGCUGAGAUCUUGUAUUGACAAUGGCAGAGUUAAGAUACUCUCUAAAGUCAACUCCAGCACAUCCUCAAGACUUUCAAAGGGUUAAGCUCAGGACUCGGUGGUGGCCAAUUCAUGUGUGCAUUUCUCAUGCUUAAUGAACCACUGUUUCACAAUGUGUUUUGCGACAUCAAAGUGUAUCUUAAUCAGCUCCUGAGCUCGUAAGUCAGUUUAUGGUGUACAUGAAUCCAGGCACUGUUAAGGACCCUGGCUCACUGCACAUUGGGACAGUGGUUACUCAAUUUUUGGGUGACAUGAUCCCAUACAUUGUACCUACCUUGUUGAAAAAUGGUUUAAAUCAACAACAGGCAGGACAUAUCUAUUUGAUAUAGUCUUUUAUACUCUUUAAACACAUCUGUUACAUAUCAACAUUUCAGCUGAAUAUUAAUUGUAAAUCUUAACUAGAUGUGUUCACUACCUGUUUAGUGAUGUUUAUGCUGACAUAAAAGAAAAAUGGAUUAUCUUUUAAAUCCGUUAAUAUGCAAACAUGUCUUUAAAACAAAAAAAGAGAAGGGUUACACACAGAUGCUGAUUCUCAGUUACUGUUUUUUGUGUUUGUUUCUGGCUGUUAACAGAAGGCUCUUUUGAUUUGGGUCAGUCACUGCAUUGGCGGCUCUUGAGGGCCUCAGCUGUAUCUCAGCAGCAGAGUUUGGUAGAGAAAUGUGUGUGGACUCUUUUGACUUCUGACAGUGUUUAUAUCUCCAUUAUCGUGAUGUUUAUUGUAUAAAACACAAUAGAAGAAUGCUGUAAUACAGGGCUGAGUCCCCAAACCUAAUUAAACACACCCAAACCAGCUCAUCAAGGUCUUCAAGAUCAGUAGAAAGCUACAGGCAGGUGUGUUUAAUUAGGGUUGGAGCUGAACUCUGCAGGACCAAAGCUGCCAAGCCCUGCUGUCAAUACAAAAUGCAUGCCAGGUGUUUUUUAUUUUUUAUUUUUUUUUUUAUAAAUAACUGAAGACUAAUAUUAACAUGACAAAAAACACAGACAAACAUUUAUUUGACUGUUGUGUUACCAGGAUUUAAUUAAUCAGAUCAAGCAGUAAUGUUCUUGAUAAAAUGUUCUGUAGCUGCUAAACUAUUUUACUAAUAAAAUCACCAGAUCUGUACUGACAACACGUUUGUUGUGUGUGUGUUUGUAAGGGAGAGAGAACAUAAGAAAGAGAGUAUGUGCUUUCCGUACACUAUAAAAUGUUAUUUUGUGGCAAAAACAUGAAAAUAAUUUGUCAUUUUUAUCCUAUUGUUUGCUAUAUUAAUUUGCUUGGUUGGUGUCGAUGUGGAUUUUAGUUCUUUUGCUGUUUUAGGCUGUAAGUUCGCUGUGUGUUUCCCUGAAAAUAAUUGCCCUCCUUAAAACAUUCGUCAGCCAAUCAGAAGCAUCCAACAGCCCCAUAUGAUAUAAUCCAUGUUUCAUGUAUUAACAAUGUCCAAAAGUUUGUUUGUUAAGGCUAGAUUAAAUGAAGCAGGUGAGGACCAAAACAAACCAGACCAAAUGCAAAUACAAGCACAAAACUGUGUGAGGUGUUUUUGCACGGAUCAUAGCAGUUUCAGUGUGAAAUAUGUGGGAAGUAUGGCAUGUUUUGUGUAAACUGAAAAAAAUCAUAAAAAUACCAGAUGAUCAUGGUGCCCUGAUGUCAUUAAUAUAAAUUGUACACAUUUGAAAGUAUUGUUAGAUGUCUCCUUUUUCACAUUUCCAGGGUUCUCGGUAGCGGAAGUCAUUAUAGACGAUAAAUGACAUGUUAUAAACUUCUGGUGAAUAAGAGACUACAGCAAAUUCUUCUUCUUCUUCUUCUGUUUUGUUUAUGAUUGCAUUUCCACACCUUUUCUUUCACGUCCUCAGCUGUUGUAUUAGACACCAGGAGGUCAGGAAUUGGCUGUUCAGCAGGUUCCUGAAGAUGUUUCUGGUAAUGGUUUCUGUUCACCCCUGCUGGUAGAUGCUGGAACUACACCAACAGACAGCAACAUUACACACAGAUCCUACUAGUUUAAAUAAAGCAGAUUUGGCUCAAAACAACACAGGCUGAAUGCAAAUGAGAGAACGCAAAUUCCAUCAGGUCUUUUUUUUCACGGAUCACGGAAGUUUCAAAGUAAAAUCUGCAGGAAUUUCUUUGCAAGUCAAACUGAGGACGUCACUGAAGAUCUGCAUUCUUGUUAAGGGUUGGGAACCGAGAACCGGUUCUUAUUCAGGUUCUUAAGUUUCGUUUCCAAAAACGGUUCUGGUGUGACACGUGACCAGGCGCUGUGAGCAGCCUUGCGUUGGUGUUCUGACGAAUCGAUUCGGCGUUUCCCGUGAAACAUGUCACAAACCAAAUAACAGAAACACCGCCCUGCCUCUUUAAUUACUGAGCACAUUGUUUCCAGUGAAGCGCACUCCACAGUUACAGUAACUACAUAACACACGUUUCCCACAACUGUACGCGCACGCGCCUUUGAUAACUGUGCACGUCUUUUUGUCGUUUUGUCUGCCGCCACUUAAUUACAUUAUAUUUGUCCUAUAUUCUCAUUAAUAUACAUACUGACUUCAACUUGGACCACUAAAUAAAUAGACUGCUAUUGUUAUGUAAGUAUUAGAUUAUUAGAGGGUUAGAUUAUUUAGUGUACAGGUCAUUUCAAGAGAGAUAAAUAAAGUGAUAGAAAAUAUGUAUUUUCAUGCAUUUUAAAUGUUUAAAAAUGAGGAAACCAUUCAUUUCAUCACACCAUCUCCUGACUGCAUUAUUAUUUGUAAUAUAGGGGCUUUAUGGAGUGUGUGUAUACAUGGUUAUAAGUAUAACAGUUUAUAUUUCAUUAAUUUAGGGAAAUAAACAAGUGUCUUAGCCCUCAAGGGACUAUUUGGCCAACCAGCUUAUUCCUGCUUGAAAAGCAAAAUGUUACUGAUAGUGUAAAAAACAUCAACUUUGAAGCACAUGCUGAUUGAUGGACUAGAAUUACUCAACAUUACUUACUACCUUCCAGCAACACUACAUUCAAUGAAGGUAAAAUAGUAAAAAAACAUAAUAAUAGUUCAUUUAAAUGGAAUCGGAACUGGAAAAUUUGUAUACUGUAAUACAUGUUGAAUUUUGACAUUGCCAACCUUUAAAUUAAGUUGAUAGUAAGUAAUAAACAGUAUUGAGCACUGAGUAGUUAAGUAUUGUGCAUUUUUCCUCACCACUAUUUUCUUAAUAGUUGUUUAAUGAUUUUAAUGGAAUCGGAACCUGAAAAUUUCUAACGAUACCCAACCCUACUUGUCACGUUCAGCUGAUGAUAAGACUGACACCUGAAAAAUGCUGUAAAGUGAGAAUGUGUUUCUGUGUUUGUGAAACAUGCACUAACAAGCACAGCACUGUGUUUACAUGAAGUAUGACAGAAGACAAGAAUAUUACUGAGUUAAUAUGACAGUAUCUGUUACAUUUGUCUUCAUUGUUCAGUGGUAUAACUGAAGUGUUAAAUGUCAUGAUGCAGUGUUUAUACUCUUAAAUGUCUCUUGAGUUUGGUGUUUGUUCUGUGUUGUAGGUUUAGUGUGAGACAGUGAUUGAACGAGGGUGGGUUGGCUUUUUCUUUUUUAACAAAUUAAGCUGUGUGUGUGUAUAUGUGUGUGAGAGAGAGAGAGAGAGAGAUCUUGUAGACAGCAUAUUGCAAACACUGAACCAAAGAGGAAAUUUUGUUGGGAUUGGGAAUCAAAUACAUUUUCUAAUUUAUUAUUCAUAUCUGAACCAUUUCACAGAAAUCAUUAUGAUUCUGUGACUUCUCUGAAUCUUCUUCAUCAGUUUGACUGUAGAAGAGAGAAGAUUCACACGGUCUGUCAAGACAGGCUUCAACAAAACUGUUUUAGCAAACUAAAAAGGAAAUGAUAAGAGAUUGAAAUUCAUAAACUAUAAUUGCCCUUCAUUGUAUGUUAAUGUUUUUGAGAUUUCAAAUAAAGGAACAGCUGAAACUAAUCCUCUGCUGACCUCUGCAGGUCAUUAAUGUCCAUAAUUAGUUCAGAAAUAAGUUACAGCUCAUCUUGCAUGUGCUCAUGAUGACACGCUGCACGUUGUUCAGUUAUAUAGAAGCUGUUAGAGACCUAAAUAUCCUUUCACAAUGUUAUUAAUGUCAUUUCAUUUGUCAUUUGAAAACCAGAUUCCAUGAAUAAAUCGUGUUUUUAAAUAAACUGGAACUUCCGGUGUGAGCCACGUGGUGUCACUGUUUUCUUUCUCAACUUGUACAGAAAAGUCAAGACAGACUGAUAAAACUUUACAUACAAAGAUC